Molecule: ribosomal RNA, 38 nt
Filed under: Neea ovalifolia
Lineage: Eukaryota; Viridiplantae; Streptophyta; Magnoliopsida; Caryophyllales; Nyctaginaceae
Also listed under: 3 other names
Description: partial 26S ribosomal RNA
Source: RNAcentral
GCGACCCCAGGUCAGGCGGGGCUACCCGCUGAGUUUAU